RNAcentral lists this unclassified non-coding RNA (166 nucleotides) under uncultured fungus. RNAcentral's name for it is "sequence contains ITS1, 5.8S rRNA gene, ITS2 and 28S rRNA gene". The record is from RNAcentral. Lineage: Eukaryota; Fungi.
GGAAGGAUCAUUACUGAAUUGUCAAACGGGCUGUUGCUGGUCCUCAAACGGGGACAUGUGCACGCUCUGUUUACACAUCCACUCACACCUGUGCACCCUCUGUAGUUUUACGGUCUGGGGGACCCUGUCUUCCUUCCGUAGUUCUACGUCUUUACACACACACACU